Molecule: ribosomal RNA, 186 nt
Filed under: uncultured Staphylococcus sp.
Lineage: Bacteria; Bacillati; Bacillota; Bacilli; Caryophanales; Staphylococcaceae
Description: partial 16S ribosomal RNA
Rfam family: Bacterial small subunit ribosomal RNA
Source: RNAcentral
GAAACCGGAGCUAAUACCGGAUAAUAUAUUGAACCGCAUGGUUCAAUAGUGAAAGACGGUUUUGCUGUCACUUAUAGAUGGAUCCGCGCCGCAUUAGCUAGUUGGUAAGGUAACGGCUUACCAAGGCAACAUGCGUAGCCGACCUGAGAGGGUGAUCAGCCACACUUGAACUGAGACACGGUCCAG